CCUACGGGGGGCUGCAGUGGGGAAUCUUGCACAAUGGGGGAAAGUCUGACGCAGCAACGCCGCGUGAGCGAUGAAGGCCUUCGGGUCGUAAAGCUCUGUCCUUAGGGAAGAAUAAGGACGGUAGCAUAGGAGGAAGCCCUGGCUAACUACGUGCAAGAAGCCGCGGUAAUCCGCAGGGGGCUAGCGUUAUCCGGAAUUACUGGGCGUAAGGGGUGCGUAGGUGGCCCUUGAAGUCAGAGGUGAAAGGCUACGGCUCAACCGGAGUAAGCCUUGGAAACUGUAGGGCUUGAGUGCAGGAGAGGAGAGUGGAAUUCCCAGUGCAGCGGUGAAAUGCGUAGAUAUUGGGAGGAACACCAGUUGCGAAGGCGGCUCUCUGGACUGUAACUGACGCUGAGGCACGAAAGCGUGGGGAGCGAACAGGAUUAGAUACCCUAGUAGUC
Molecule: ribosomal RNA, 440 nt
Filed under: uncultured bacterium
Lineage: Bacteria
Description: partial 16S ribosomal RNA
Rfam family: Bacterial small subunit ribosomal RNA
Source: RNAcentral